The sequence is a ribosomal RNA, 627 nucleotides long. It matches the Rfam family "Eukaryotic large subunit ribosomal RNA", at positions 1 to 606 of the family's 3401-position model.
CCUCAAAUCAGGUGGGACUACCCGCUGAACUUAAGCAUAUCAAUAAGCGGAGGAAAAGAAACUAACAAGGAUUCCCCUAGUAACGGCGAGUGAAGCGGGAUGAGCUCAAAUUUAAAAUCUGGCAGCCUAAGGUUGUCCGAGUUGUAGUCUAGAGAAGCGUUUUCCGCGUAGGCCUGUGUACAAGUCCCUUGGAAUAGGGCGUCAUAGAGGGUGAGAAUCCCGUCCUUGACACAGAUCAUCUAUGCUUUGCGAUGCGCUCUCGAAGAGUCGAGUUGUUUGGGAAUGCAGCUCAAAAUGGGUGGUAAAUUCCAUCUAAAGCUAAAUAUUGGCGAGAGACCGAUAGCGAACAAGUACCGUGAGGGAAAGAUGAAAAGCACUUUGGAAAGAGAGUUAAACAGUACGUGAAAUUGUUGAAAGGGAAACGAUUGAAGUCAGUCAUGUGGUUCGAGAUUCAGCCGGUUCUGCCGGUGUAUUUCUCGAGCUACAGGCCAGCAUCAGUUUCGACCGAUGGAAAAAGUUGAGAGGAAUGUGGCAUCUUCGGAUGUGUUAUAGCCUUUUUUCACAUGCAUCGGACGGGACUGAGGAACGCAGCGUGCCUUUAUGGUCGGUCUUCGGACACGAACGCGC